UGGGGAAUAUUGGACAAUGGGGGGAACCCUGAUCCAGCCAUGCCGCGUGUGUGAAGAAGGCCUUUUGGUUGUAAAGCACUUUAAGCGAGGAGGAGGCUCCUAUAGAUAAUACCUAUAGUGAGUGGACGUUACUCGCAGAAUAAGCACCGGCUAACUCUGUGCCAGCAGCCGCGGUAAUACAGAGGGUGCGAGCGUUAAUCGGAUUUACUGGGCGUAAAGCGUACGUAGGCGGCUUUUUAAGUCGGAUGUGAAAUCCCUGAGCUUAACUUAGGAAUUGCAUUCGAUACUGGGAAGCUAGAGUAUGGGAGAGGAUGGUAGAAUUCCAGGUGUAGCGGUGAAAUGCGUAGAGAUCUGGAGGAAUACCGAUGGCGAAGGCAGCCAUCUGGCCUAAUACUGACGCUGAGGUACGAAAGCAUGGGGAGCAAACA
Molecule: ribosomal RNA, 428 nt
Filed under: uncultured prokaryote
Description: bacterial SSU rRNA
Rfam family: Bacterial small subunit ribosomal RNA
Source: RNAcentral